RNAcentral lists this transfer RNA (69 nucleotides) under Ictidomys tridecemlineatus (thirteen-lined ground squirrel). RNAcentral describes it as "Spermophilus tridecemlineatus (thirteen-lined ground squirrel) tRNA". It matches the Rfam family "tRNA". Rfam says of the family: Transfer RNA (tRNA) molecules are approximately 80 nucleotides in length. Their secondary structure includes four short double-helical elements and three loops (D, anti-codon, and T loops). Further hydrogen bonds mediate the characteristic L-shaped molecular structure. tRNAs have two regions of fundamental functional importance: the anti-codon, which is responsible for specific mRNA codon recognition, and the 3' end, to which the tRNAs corresponding amino acid is attached (by aminoacyl-tRNA synthetases). tRNAs cope with the degeneracy of the genetic code in two manners: having more than one tRNA (with a specific anti-codon) for a particular amino acid; and 'wobble' base-pairing, i.e. permitting non-standard base-pairing at the 3rd anti-codon position. Lineage: Eukaryota; Metazoa; Chordata; Mammalia; Rodentia; Sciuridae. RNAcentral also lists the same sequence under 1 other name. The record is from Rfam by way of RNAcentral.
GGAGUUGUAGCUCAGUGGUAGAGCACUUGCCUAGCACAUGUGAGGCACAGGGUUCCAUCCUCAGCUCCA